UGAGGAACAUGACCUUCGGCGGGGGAGUAGCCGGCCCGAACGGCCGGGUAAUACCGCGUACGACCACAUGGGGACAUCCCUGAGUGGUGAAAGCAGCAAUGCGCCGAUGGAGUGCCUCGCGGCCUAUCAGCUAGUUGGUGAGGUAACGGCUCACCAAGGCAACGACGGGGUAGCUGGUCUGAGAGGAUGGCCAGCCACAUUGGGACUGAGACACCGGCCCAGACCUNUACCGGGGAGG
RNAcentral lists this ribosomal RNA (238 nucleotides) under uncultured bacterium. RNAcentral's name for it is "partial 16S ribosomal RNA". It matches the Rfam family "Bacterial small subunit ribosomal RNA", at positions 118 to 347 of the family's 1533-position model. The record is from RNAcentral.